Podarcis lilfordi (Lilford's wall lizard) is the source of this 75-nucleotide non-coding RNA. The record is from the annotation of a GenBank genome assembly. Lineage: Eukaryota; Metazoa; Chordata; Lepidosauria; Squamata; Lacertidae.
GGCCGUAGCCCAGCGGGAAAGAGCGCCUGCUCCGCAUGCAGAAAGUCCCUGGUUCGAUUCCCAAACGCUGCGCCU